This 484-nucleotide ribosomal RNA is filed under the name uncultured bacterium. Its description in RNAcentral is "partial 16S ribosomal RNA". It matches the Rfam family "Bacterial small subunit ribosomal RNA", at positions 30 to 507 of the family's 1533-position model. The record is from RNAcentral.
AUUGAACGCUGGCGGCAGGCCUAACACAUGCAAGUCGAGCGGAUGAAGGGAGCUUGCUCCUGGAUUCAUCGGCGGACGGGUGAGUAAUGCCUAGGAAUCUGCCUGGUAGUGGGGGAUAACGUCCGGAAACGGGCGCUAAUACCGCAUACGUCCUGAGGGAGAAAGUGGGGGAUCUUCGGACCUCACGCUAUCAGAUGAGCCUAGGUCGGAUUAGCUAGUUGGUGGGGUAAAGGCCUACCAAGGCGACGAUCCGUAACUGGUCUGAGAGGAUGAUCAGUCACACUGGAACUGAGACACGGUCCAGACUCCUACGGGAGGCAGCAGUGGGGAAUAUUGGACAAAGGGCGAAAGCCUGAUCCAGCCAUGCCGCGUGUGUGAAGAAGGUCUUCGGAUUGUAAAGCACUUUAAGUUGGGAGGAAGGGCAGUAAGUUAAUACCUUGCUGUUUUGACGUUACCAACAGAAUAAGCACCGGCUAACUUCGUG